GGGAGGUGCUGCGUCAUUUUUCCUUCGGCAAGAGAGGGAGUGACGGCUUGGAAGGACAAUGUGGUGUGGGAGGGAGGGAGAACUUGGAGAAAGACCCAAGUACAUCCUUAGUGGUGAGGCAAUCCUAUGCAGCAGCUCUAAAGACGGGACAUGCUUCGGGGGUUCAGAGUGUGGGGGGUUUGUCAAUCACGCCUCAAGACCAGCUUGUCAAGAUGCACAACUCUCUACAGGAGAUGGAAACCCAAUUUGUCGAGUUGAAGACAGCGAUAACUUUCUUGUCUACGAAAAUAGAUCGGCUUUCAGCUGGAGGCAACAGGGUGGUAAGAAACAUGAUAGGCCCGAAUCUUUUAAACUUAGAAAAAGAAAAACGGAAGAUUGGAUUCGGCCCUGUCCCUAUAACCAGAUCCAGGAGAGUAUGGCGGGUCAAAAGGAAAUCUGGGUUAUUUGAAGUGGGGUCUACAUCGGGUAUUGGCGUAGAGACAUCAGUAAUGGAAUGGAAGUCUAAAGGGAGGGUAUUGUGAAGACGAGAAUCAAGGUGUUGGGGUUGGUGUUCGGGUAGAGUUUUAGUUCUACGGGAAACAAGGAUUGGGGUCGGGUCUGAUGUACUUUGGGUUGGUUUUUUAUGGGCUUUUUGGGUCAUUAGGGGAUUGUUGAGUCAUUUUGGGCAAUGUGUUUUCUUGUAUACAUUUAGUGUACUUGGUUUCUCCUUUUGAUAUACAAUAUUUUUACUUAU
This is a long non-coding RNA of Juglans microcarpa x Juglans regia, 733 nucleotides long. RefSeq lists it as uncharacterized. The transcript has 2 exons. The record is from RefSeq and is a predicted model, not a curated record. NCBI's taxonomy places the organism in Eukaryota, Viridiplantae, Streptophyta, Magnoliopsida, Fagales, Juglandaceae.